Molecule: transfer RNA, 77 nt
Filed under: Pseudomonadota bacterium
Lineage: Bacteria; Pseudomonadati; Pseudomonadota
Description: Proteobacteria bacterium (marine metagenome) tRNA-Arg
Rfam family: tRNA
About the family: Transfer RNA (tRNA) molecules are approximately 80 nucleotides in length. Their secondary structure includes four short double-helical elements and three loops (D, anti-codon, and T loops).
Source: RNAcentral
GCGCGGUUAGCUCAGUUGGAUAGAGCGUUGGCCUCCGGAGCCAAAGGCCACAGGUUCGAUUCCUGUACCGCGCACCA